Molecule: long non-coding RNA, 364 nt
Filed under: Marmota monax (woodchuck)
Lineage: Eukaryota; Metazoa; Chordata; Mammalia; Rodentia; Sciuridae
Source: RNAcentral
GUUCUUUGUUGUGUCUUGUUUCUGCAGCCAUCUGUGGAGGCCAGUGAUCACAGAUAAACAACACUGUGAAGUCAGUUCCAGCACCAGCCCCACAAGACUCAGGAGAAAGGCAGAUGAAUACCUGAAACUCAACCCGGCCUCUAAAUCCCUGCUGAGCGUUUUACUAGGUAGACAACUGGGGAGUUACAGAAGUGAUAUGCACCUGGCACGGUGGCUGUGGAAACUGACCCAAGCCACACCAGGGUGGAGUUGGCCACUGCCCAAAUACCACGUGACUCCUGCACUCAAGUUCCCUGAGGUUGAUGAGAAGCCCAGGAAAAUGCUGUGGCUGAACAAAUCCUUCCCCUGACGCAACCAUUAAAAC